This 435-nucleotide ribosomal RNA is filed under the name Triticum aestivum (bread wheat). RNAcentral's name for it is "partial small subunit ribosomal RNA". Lineage: Eukaryota; Viridiplantae; Streptophyta; Magnoliopsida; Poales; Poaceae. The record is from RNAcentral.
ACAUUUAAAGUGUGGCUGCAAAUCUGGGAUGCAGGAGGUGAAAAUUCAUUGUCUAAUCUGUUUCUCAGUUUCCUCUUUCAGAAACGAGAGAUUUUUCAAGACCUUGCUCCACUGCUGUGGCACUCCUUUGGCACUGUUGCUGCACUGCUCCAGGAGAUUGUGUCAAUUUACCCUUCACUUUCACCUCCUACUUUGUCGCUAGUUGCAUCAAACCGUGUCUGCAAUGCACUUGCACUUCUUCAGUGUGUUGCUUCACACCCUGAGACCAGGAUCCCGUUCUUGAAUGCUCACAUCCCACUGUACAUGUACCCGUUCCUGAAUACUACCAGCAAGACAAGACCUUUUGAGUACUUGAGGCUUACCAGCUUGGGUGUUAUUGGUGCUCUUGUGAAGGAAUCUCAACAGGAACUGUUAUUUUUGAAGCAAACAGGCUAA